Molecule: long non-coding RNA, 288 nt
Organism: Centropristis striata (black sea bass)
Lineage: Eukaryota; Metazoa; Chordata; Actinopteri; Perciformes; Serranidae
Exons: 3
Source: RefSeq, a predicted model, not a curated record
UUGAUUCCAGCCUGUGUGGCUAUGAGAACGAUGUCAGUCAUAACGGUCGCUGGGGUCGUAAAAAAGGCACGAAAUCCGAGGUGGAUCACACCUAUGGAACUGAAAAUGGUUUCUAUAUGACUUUGAUGAUAUCAACCUCUUCACAGACUGAAGUAGCUCAGCUGCUCACUCCUGAGUUCCCCUCAGCGACAGAGAUGUGUGUGCGCUUCUGGUAUUGGAUACCUGCAGGGUCAUCUCACAACCUCGCCGUGCACGUGCUGCGGAGCGGAGCCGCAGAGCCAGAUGAGG